Schistocerca serialis cubense is the source of this 1395-nucleotide long non-coding RNA. RefSeq lists it as uncharacterized. The record is from RefSeq and is a predicted model, not a curated record. The transcript has 3 exons. Lineage: Eukaryota; Metazoa; Arthropoda; Insecta; Orthoptera; Acrididae.
GCGCACAACAUUAACUGCGCUGGCGAGCAGCUUGUUCAAACAAACUGUACAACAUUUAAUUUACAUCGUCGUUCAGAAAAUUUUCAAAUAUUUUGAAACAAUACAUUUGCUCAACUGAUAGGUACCUAAGCAAGCACAUUGUUAACUGUGCAGGGGACAAUAGCCAACGUGAUGCGGAGGUUGUCACAGGGUGCAAUUGGGUGGAGAUUUAAUUUCAAAUCCCAUAACCUGGACUUACUGAUAAGGCAAUUCAACAAAUGGUGAGCAAGUGUAAGUGCACUGGUACGGUUAAGAAUGAGCCCAGAAAAGGCCAUCUAUCAACAUCUGCUGACUAAAUUUAAGACAUUAGAACGCCUACUGAUUGCAGUACAAAAUCGGUGCGACGAUUGUUAGCAGAACUGGAUGUUCCACACUGGAUAGUAUGUAAUGUGUUUCAACAUGCUCUGAGAACAAGCCAUACCACCUGAAAGUUCACCACCAACUGAAUAUGAGGAUUUGGCAGAAUGUAGCAACAUGUGCUAGGGUUUGCCUAAGCAGAUGCAAAUCACAACAGCCUCAACCAGAUCCUAUUCAGUAAUGAGGCAACUUUCUACACAUGUGGAAGGUUUAACUGACAUAACUGAGUCAUCUGGACUACCACACCACCAGUUGAGCACCUGGAAUUCCUGAGACUCUCCCAAAGUUAAUUUGUGGAUAGGAAUAUCCACUGACAAAAUCUAGGACCUGUUCUUCUUUGCUGAAAACUCCAUCAGUAUCUGGAUACGCUGGAACACUUUCUUUAACUACAGCUUGUGUGGGAUGAACAUGUACAUAAUGUUUACCCCAGCAGACGGGGGCACACCACCAUUACACCAUAUACGUGUGUAUGUUUUUGAAUAGUGUGUUUCCUGAAAGACGGAUUAGGUGCAGAGGACCAUGAUAUGGGUGGCUUGUUCUCCUGGCCUCACAGCCACUGACUUCUUCGUCUGGGGAUUUGUCGAGCGACUUGUGCUUUGCCAACAUAAUAUCAGCUCAUUGGCAGAGCUCUCAGACUGAAUUAGACAUCCUGCUGCAGCUAUAGCACCGCAAAUGCUCCAGAAUGUCUUUCGUGAUACAGCUGGCUGAUGAGAAUUGUGUCGGGAUGUGAAUGGCUCGUUAAACAUAACAUGUGACAAAUGUAUGUCACAAUAAAUAAUAGAAUACAGUAAUUAUUCAGCAAAACGUAUUCUUAAUUUCUGGAUACCCUCUAUAAACAAGGUCUCUAGAUCGUAAAUACAAUAGAUGCUGCAGGAUGUAUUCCUGGAAAUCUUGAAAAAAUAACUUCACAAAAAAUUUGUAAGUUUCCAAGAUGAUAACUGUGUGUGUGUGUGUGUGUGUGUGUGUGUGUGUGUGUGUGUCAGUCCACUGUGGUACAGA